AGAGUUUGAUCCUGGCUCAGAGUGAACGCUGGCGGCAGGCCUAACACAUGCAAGUCGAACGGCAGCACAGCAGUAGCAAUACUGUGGGUGGCGAGUGGCGGACGGGUGAGGAAUGCGUCGGAAUCUGCCUUUUUGUGGGGGAUAACGUAGGGAAACUUACGCUAAUACCGCAUACGACCUACGGGUGAAAGUGGGGGACCUUCGGGCCUCACGCAGAAAGAUGAGCCGACGCCGGAUUAGCUAGUUGGCGGGGUAAAGGCCCACCAAGGCGACGAUCCGUAGCUGGUCUGAGAGGAUGAUCAGCCACACUGGGACUGAGACACGGCCCAGACUCCUACGGGAGGCAGCAGUGGGGAAUUUUGCACAAUGGGCGAAAGCCUGAUGCAGCAACGCCGCGUGUGUGAUGAAGGUCUUCGGAUCGUAAAGCACUUUCGACCGGGACGAACAACCUCUGGCUAACAGUCAGGGGCCUGACGUACCGGAG
Molecule: ribosomal RNA, 484 nt
Filed under: uncultured bacterium
Lineage: Bacteria
Description: bacterial SSU rRNA
Rfam family: Bacterial small subunit ribosomal RNA
Source: RNAcentral